AAUGGAGAGAUGAGUCGGAUCGGCUCGCCCGCAGGGCGACGUGGCCGACCGAAGGUCGGACACAUGGGGGCCCGAAGUUGUGGUUGGUGAUUGGGGUG
RNAcentral lists this ribosomal RNA (98 nucleotides) under uncultured bacterium. Its description in RNAcentral is "partial 16S ribosomal RNA". The record is from RNAcentral.